This 408-nucleotide ribosomal RNA is filed under the name uncultured bacterium. RNAcentral's name for it is "partial 16S ribosomal RNA". It matches the Rfam family "Bacterial small subunit ribosomal RNA", at positions 28 to 526 of the family's 1533-position model. The record is from RNAcentral.
GACGAACGCUGGCGGCGUGCUUAACACAUGCAAGUCGAACGAAGUGGCGAACGGGUGAGUAACGCGUAAUCAACCUGCCCUUCGGAGGGGGACAACAGUUGGAAACGACUGCUAAUACCCCAUACUGAAGGAGGGGUUUGCGUGUGAUUAGCUAGUUGGGGGGGUAACGGCCCACCAAGGCGAUGGUCAGUAGCCGGUCUGGGGGGGUGAACGGCCACAAUGGGACUGGGACACGGCCCAGACUCCUUCGGGAGGGAGCAGUGGGGAAUCUUCCGCAAUGGACGGAAGUCCGACGGAGCAACGCCGCGUGAGUGAUGACGGCCUUCGGGGUGGAAAGCUCUUUUAAUCGGGACGCGGUACCGGAAGAGAAAGCCACGGCUAACUACGUGCCAGCAGCCGCGGUAAUAC